Molecule: transfer RNA, 72 nt
Filed under: Ovis aries (sheep)
Lineage: Eukaryota; Metazoa; Chordata; Mammalia; Artiodactyla; Bovidae
Rfam family: tRNA
About the family: Transfer RNA (tRNA) molecules are approximately 80 nucleotides in length. Their secondary structure includes four short double-helical elements and three loops (D, anti-codon, and T loops).
Source: Rfam by way of RNAcentral
UCCCAAAUAGUUCAGUUGGUAGAGAAUCUGCCUGCAAUGCAGGAGACCCCGGUUCGAUUCCUGGGUCAGGAA